GCCAAUCCGCCAUUUUUUCUUCUCGCUAAGAUUUUUUGUAGUCCUAUUGGAAAAAUGCAGAAUGUCUGGUUAUUUUAGCCACACACAGCUCAAAACUGUUCCUCGUUUUAAGGAAGGGUGGUGUGGCAGUAUUUAAACCCAGGAGCUGAUGACACUACUGCUAAAAAAACACAGAAGAAAAAGUAGUGUGUUUGCGUUUGUUUGUGUGUGUGUGUGUGCGUGCGUGCGCGCGCGCGCGUGGUUCGUUCGUUCUGUCUCCAGGCUAGUGGCUAAGUACUGAGGGCUUCAUCUAUCUAAAAGGAGUUAUUUCCAUCUGAAUUUGGCAGCACCGGGACACAGCAGCAGAGCGAGUCCACAUCCAGAAGUCUGGAGCCGUGUUUCACUGACAGGCUGUCAGCCUAACGCCCUGAUGAGCUCAGCUGGGACAAACUGGUCUGAUGUUUAGGAACACAGAACGCUCAGAUGUUGGAGCUCACGUCACCUACUGAGGAAGGAGACCCACCAGUAAAGAGACGGUCUGGACCAGACCAAAAAUAUGGCGAUGACAUCAUGGAACUGGUCUUUGGAAAAGUUUUCCCUGAACCAACUCCGUUUCUAGAUGAGGUAGAGAAGAUCUGCAUCUCACCAACUCUCUGGUCUCAGUAUUCAGACAACGGAGGUCUCCCACUGUUAUCCAGGACCAGUUUGAAGCCCACAUACUGCCCCUCCCUCAUCAUCAGGAAACAUCAAUCCGUAUCCUGAGGACAACAGAAGACGGCAGGAGGACAGGAACUCUGAGACCUAGACACCACCAGCACCGAGACACAAAGCACCUGUGUGCACAACGCCUGUUUUAACUACUAAAGCCUGUUUAUUAUAUUGUUCUACUUAUUUGCUGUGAGGUUAAUACUUAGAAAAUUUGUAUAUUAAUGUAAACAAUUUAAAAAAAAUCACUGAUUGUAUGUUUUCUUUUAGAUGUAAUGGUCCAAACUCAGCCUUGUAGACAUUUAUUGCAUCCUGUAGGUAAAUACACAGAACAGGCUCAGGUCCAGGAUGACCCAGCAUGCUCUUCUUCCAUUCUGGCUGUUAGGGAUUGUAUCAAUAACUCAAUGCCUACUGAUGUUUCCACCUAAUGGUGUUUAUUUAGAAUGCAGGUAAGAUUUAACUAUAUUUGUUAGCAAAGCAGACUGAUCUUGGGAAUUUCACUGCAGCACUGAUGUCCACCUCUCUGUACACAUUAGAGAGAAUUACCACUUUACAGCUAAACACAUUUAAUAAAGAUAUAGGCUACGCAUUGCAGACAAUAAAAACAAAGUUGUAAGCAUUAGAAUUAUAAUGAUGACAUUAAAGAACAUUUGGAGUAAUGUUCUUUAUUUUUGACUAGAAUCUCAAAUCUUUAAAUUAAAAUGUAACUGCUUUUUAUCCAUUUUCAGCCAUUAAGACACCCAAUAUAAAAUAAGACUACUUAUAAAAUUAUUUAUAAUUAUAUGUAUGUAUAUAGAUAGAGAUCUUAAUAAAAUAUAUUCUUUGAAUGGUGUUUUAAUGAGCUGUAUCAUUUUUUUAAACAUUUUUUACAGAAAUAAGCAAGCAGCAUUCCUUGUGUGUGUGUGUGUGUGUGUGUGCGUGCGCGCGUGUGCCUGCUCGCUUGUCCCUCCGUCGGCCGUGACGGGUGUGUGUGAGUGACUACAGACAAAUGCAUGAGAGAGUUAGCAGCCAUGAAACAGCUUGAUGAACUACUCUCCCCACGUGUUUUAAAAAUGCUAAUAUGCUAUGCUAAAUAAUGAUUUCUCUAUAGAACUACAAAGUCCGACUGGGGGAGGAGAGUACAGGACUGCACUAUGGAGGGGGGCGGAGUUUACAGCUCCUCCUCCAGUUUAAAGAGACAGUACCCCAAAACGGCUCGUUCUCAAGACUCUCCUCAGAACAGGGGUAGAUGAGGGUCUGUAGAGCAACAAUAAUGAGGAAAUCAGACCAAAGAACUGCAGUUCCACUGUUUUUAGACCCCCAACUGAAGGAUUUAGAUGUAAAAAGGAAUAACUUAAAAGCAUGUUAUGUCUCCUU
Molecule: non-coding RNA, 2040 nt
Organism: Nothobranchius furzeri (turquoise killifish)
Lineage: Eukaryota; Metazoa; Chordata; Actinopteri; Cyprinodontiformes; Nothobranchiidae
Source: RefSeq, a predicted model, not a curated record